This is a non-coding RNA of Tursiops truncatus (common bottlenose dolphin), 67 nucleotides long. The record is from Ensembl. NCBI's taxonomy places the organism in Eukaryota, Metazoa, Chordata, Mammalia, Artiodactyla, Delphinidae.
CAAGAUGUAGCUUAAACAAAGCAUCUAGUUUACACCUAGAAGAUUCCACAACUCGUGCACAUCUUGA